Molecule: long non-coding RNA, 1004 nt
Organism: Amphiprion ocellaris (clown anemonefish)
Lineage: Eukaryota; Metazoa; Chordata; Actinopteri; Pomacentridae
Source: Ensembl
UAUGUAUAUCUAUGGUCGGCACGUCUGGUAGCAUCUCUGGCUGCUGUUGACCUUGUUUUUGGAGUAAAACACGAUGUUCAGAGGGAGAUGAUGCCACAUCUGGUCCAGCUGAUGGAAGGUCUUGAAGUUCUCUGACUGGCCUCGACUGAAGAUGGUCGUCUCACUGGAUUUAAGGUUCAGAUGCUCAGUAACAAACUCCACCAAUGUGCCAACAGGGAAGCUUUAGGUUUAUUAAAUGUUGCUAUGAAGGUUUCGCUGUUUUUCUUUGUGAAUGCAAUGUGCUCCAACUGAAACUUGAAUUAGAACUUAGAAGUAAAUCCUUCCAUCUGAAAGGAUUUAUUUGCAUUAAUAACCUCAUAACAUUCUAAUUUUUAUUCCAGUCUUGGUUGGAAAUAGAAUCUCUGUAUUGAUUCAGGUAAAAACUGAACUUCACAGCAUGUUGGAGCAAAACAACCAGAUGAAAACUGUGAUGGUGUUGGAUUGUCAGACCGUAAUGUUGCAGCUCAAAGCAGCUUUUCUAUCUCAGUUCAUUCUGACAUUCAGCUAUGAAUCAACACAGCAGAUGGUGAUCCAUGCUGUGGAAGUCUCACAUCUCCUCAUUUAAUGGAGCUGCUUUGCACUUUUUACACUGUUUAUUCACCAACACUUUAUUUAAUAAAAGUCCCAUCUAGUUUUCAUGAGGAAUGUGAUGUUUUAAUUUCUCUGUGAAUAACUGCAGUCUAAUGGAACAGCUGGAGUUGUAACAUCUGUCCUGAUAUUGAUCAUGAAGUAUUGAUCAGAAUACUUAUGGUUAGCAGUCAUCCCUGAAGUUUUACAUUAAAAUCUUUACUUGUGUUGUGAACUUUGGUAAGAAGCAGAAACUUUAGCGUUGCCAUGGAUACAUGAGUGUUAAAGUCUGUCCAUGUUUCCAUUUUGGGAAAUGAAGUCCAGCAGAUGAGUUUGUUUUUACUGGCAGCUACUAUUCAGUCUGAGAUAUUAAGAAUAAAUAAAUGUGCAUAAUGUGG